This 218-nucleotide ribosomal RNA is filed under the name uncultured bacterium. RNAcentral describes it as "partial 16S ribosomal RNA". It matches the Rfam family "Bacterial small subunit ribosomal RNA", at positions 524 to 739 of the family's 1533-position model. The record is from RNAcentral.
UACGUAGGGUGCAAGCGUUAAUCGGAAUUACUGGGCGUAAAGCGUGCGCAGGCGGUUUUGUAAGUUUGUCGUGAAAUCCCCCGGGCUCAACCUGGGAAUGGCGAUGAAGACUGCAAGGCUAGAAUCUGGCAGAGGGGGGUAGAAUUCCACGUGUGAGCAGUGAAAUGCGUAGAGAUGUGGAGGAACACCGAUGGCGAAGGCAGCCCCCUGGGUCAAGA